CCUACGGGAGGCAGCAGUGAGGAAUAUUGGUCAAUGGACGAGAGACUGAACCAGCCAAGCCGCGUGAGGGAGGAAGGUACAGAGUAUCGUAAACUUCUUUUGUCAGGGAAUAAAGCCUGGCACGCGUCCCUGUUUGCGUUUACUUUAAGAAAAAGCAUCGGCUAACUCCGUGCCAGCAGCCGCGGUAAUACGGAGGAUCCGAGCGUUACUCGGAUUUAUUGGGUUUAAAGGGUACGGAGGUGGGUCUUUAAGUCAGUGGUUAAAGUCCGGGGCUCAACCGGCACACCGCCUUUGAAACUGGCAGUCUCGAGUUGGAGAGAGGUAUGCGGAAUGCGCGGUGUAGCGGUGAAAUGCAUAGAUAUCGCGCAGAACUCCGAUUGCGAAGGCAGCAUGCCGGCUCCACACUGACGCUGAGGCACGAAAGCGUGGGUAUCGAACAGGAUUAGAUACCCGGGUAGUC
Molecule: ribosomal RNA, 460 nt
Filed under: uncultured bacterium
Lineage: Bacteria
Description: partial 16S ribosomal RNA
Rfam family: Bacterial small subunit ribosomal RNA
Source: RNAcentral